UACGUAGGGCGCAAGCGUUGUCCGGAAUUAUUGGGCGUAAAGAGCUCGUAGGCGGUUUGUCGCGUCUGUCGUGAAAGCUUGGGGCUUAACCCUAAGUCUGCGGUGGAUACGGGCAGACUAGAGGCAGGUAGGGGAGAACGGAAUUCCCGGUGUAGCGGUGAAAUGCGCAGAUAUCGGGAGGAACACCGGUGGCGAAGGCGGUUCUCUGGGCCUGUAUUGACGCUGAGGUGCGAAAGCGUGGGGAGCAAACAGG
This 253-nucleotide ribosomal RNA is filed under the name uncultured bacterium. Its description in RNAcentral is "partial 16S ribosomal RNA". It matches the Rfam family "Bacterial small subunit ribosomal RNA", at positions 524 to 776 of the family's 1533-position model. The record is from RNAcentral.